UACAGAGGGUGCGAGCGUUGUCCGGAAUCACUGGGCGUAAAGGGCGCGUAGGCGGGCUCUUAAGUCAGGGGUGAAAGCCCGGGGCUCAACUCCGGAACUGCCUUUAAGACUGCAUUGCUUGAAUCCAGGAGAGGUGAGUGGAAUUCCGAGUGUAGAGGUGAAAUUCGUAGAUAUUCGGAAGAACACCAGUGGCGAAGGCGGCUCACUGGACUGGUAUUGACGCUGAGGUGCGAAAGCGUGGGGAGCAAACAGG
This 253-nucleotide ribosomal RNA is filed under the name uncultured bacterium. RNAcentral describes it as "partial 16S ribosomal RNA". It matches the Rfam family "Bacterial small subunit ribosomal RNA", at positions 524 to 776 of the family's 1533-position model. The record is from RNAcentral.